CGAAAGGCCGACCCAGAGCUGCGCGCCCGAUACGCGGAAACACAUCGGCCGCGCCGGGAGGCCGACCCCGAGCUGCGCGCCCGAGAAGCCGAAGCUCAACGGUAGCGGCGAAAGCCCGACCCCUACCUGCGCGCCCGAGACGCGGAAACACAUUGGCAGCGCCGGGAGUCCGACCCCGAGCUGCGCGCCACAGAUGCCGAUUUUAAACGGCGGCGCCGGGAGGCCUACCCCGAGCUGCGCGCCCGAGACGCGGAAACAC
Molecule: long non-coding RNA, 259 nt
Filed under: Dermacentor andersoni
Lineage: Eukaryota; Metazoa; Arthropoda; Arachnida; Ixodida; Ixodidae
Description: uncharacterized LOC126545303
Source: RNAcentral